CUGACCACCAGGCAGGAGAGAACAAUGUAUUCUGGGGAUGCAGGAUUUCCUCCUUUGGACCCACUUCCAAUAGAAAUCCCCACACACAUCGUAUCUUCCAUCUGUCUGCUGAAACACAAAGAUAAAUGUCUUGACAAGAGAGCAAGGGAGAGGUUUUGACAACACCAAAGAUGCUUGAAAGCAGAGAAUCUUGUAGGGCUUAAGAAAGAAAGACUUUCAUCUCUCAGAUUCAUUUCUCCGGGGAGCAUUAACUGCCCCCAGACGAGUCACCACAAUGCAGCAACCGGUAAAACUAUUUUCCCUGUCUCCAAGGCAUCCCUGAAGCACCAAGAGGCCAAUUCCUCUCGGGGAGACAUGCAAGUUACAAAAUGCAGGGCAGGGAGGAAGCAGCAAGCAGUCAAUUCGCCUGGAAAGAGCUGUGUGAGAAUCAUAGGUGUAAUUUACUAGCUUUCAGUUGCCGCUUCAGAGGGGCAAAGUCCGAAUACUUCUUAGGUAUCGAAGUUGUGCUCCCCGUGGCGUGGCCCUAAAACAUUUCCGUUGUAUUAUCAGGUUCUGUGCUGGGUCCACCGAUUGCCUAAUUACUCUUGCGGGGCUCCUUCUGCUCUCUCCCUUCCGUUUGCUGCAGCCAGGAAUUAUAACCCUGAUUGUUCCAGACUGUUUCUCGGACAUUCACGUGUUUCCCUUAACUGGAGAAGACACCGCGGUGCAGUCGCCUCCCUUCUGGGACUGGAAGAUGAGAUAUUUUAGGGAUGAGUGA
RNAcentral lists this long non-coding RNA (757 nucleotides) under Sus scrofa (pig). RNAcentral describes it as "lncRNA (ENSSSCG00025013382.1)". Lineage: Eukaryota; Metazoa; Chordata; Mammalia; Artiodactyla; Suidae. The record is from RNAcentral.